ACAAGCGGCGGAGCAUGUGGCUUAAUUCGACGCAACGCGAAGAACCUUACCAAGGCUUGACAUACACCGGAAACAUCCAGAGAUGGGUGCCCCCUUGUGGUCGGUGUACAGGUGGUGCAUGGCUGUCGUCAGCUCGUGUCGUGAGAUGUUGGGUUAAGUCCCGCAACGAGCGCAACCCUUGUCCCGUGUUGCCAGCAGGCCCUUGUGGUGCUGGGGACUCACGGGAGACCGCCGGGGUCAACUCGGAGGAAGGUGGGGACGACGUCAAGUCAUCAUGCCCCUUAUGUCUUGGGCUGCACACGUGCUACAAUGGCCGGUACAAUGAGCUG
This 329-nucleotide ribosomal RNA is filed under the name Streptomyces sp. RNAcentral's name for it is "bacterial SSU rRNA". It matches the Rfam family "Bacterial small subunit ribosomal RNA", at positions 925 to 1249 of the family's 1533-position model. Lineage: Bacteria; Bacillati; Actinomycetota; Actinomycetes; Kitasatosporales; Streptomycetaceae. The record is from RNAcentral.